This 492-nucleotide ribosomal RNA is filed under the name Escherichia coli. Its description in RNAcentral is "partial 23S ribosomal RNA". It matches the Rfam family "Bacterial large subunit ribosomal RNA", at positions 1 to 523 of the family's 2925-position model. Lineage: Bacteria; Pseudomonadati; Pseudomonadota; Gammaproteobacteria; Enterobacterales; Enterobacteriaceae. The record is from RNAcentral.
GGGUUGUGAGGUUAAGCGACUAAGCGUACACGGUGGAUGCCCUGGCAGUCAGAGGCGAUGAAGGACGUGCUAAUCUGCGAUAAGCGUCGGUGAGGUGAUAUGAACCGUUAUAACCGGCGAUUUCCGAAUGGGGAAACCCAGUGUGAUUCGUCACACUAUCAUUAACUGAAUCCAUAGGUUAAUGAGGCGAACCGGGGGAACUGAAACAUCUAAGUACCCCGAGGAAAAGAAAUCAACCGAGAUUCCCCCAGUAGCGGCGAGCGAACGGGGAGGAGCCCAGAGCCUGAAUCAGUGUGUGUGUUAGUGGAAGCGUCUGGAAAGGCGCGCGAUACAGGGUGACAGCCCCGUACACAAAAAUGCACAUACUGUGAGCUCGAUGAGUAGGGCGGGACACGUGGUAUCCUGUCUGAAUAUGGGGGGACCAUCCUCCAAGGCUAAAUACUCCUGACUGACCGAUAGUGAACCAGUACCGUGAGGGAAAGGCGAAAAGAA